CUCCCGUUGAUCCUGCCGGACCCGACUGCUAUCAGAAUGAGAUUAAGCCAUGCGAGUCAACGUAGCAAUACGUGGCACACGGCUCAGUAACACGUAGUCAACAUAACCAGAGGACGUGGAUAAACUCGGGAAACUGAGGCUAAACCGCGAUAGACCAAGAUACCUGGAAUGGUUUUUGAUCAAAAUCUAUAUGGCCUUUGGAUUGGACUGCGACCGAUCAGGCUGUUGGUGAGGUAAUGGCCCACCAAACCAGUAACCGGUACGGGCUCUGAGAGGAGGAGCCCGGAGAUGGGUACUGAGACAAGGACCCAGGCCCUAUGGGGCGCAGCAGGCGCGAAACCUCUGCAAUAGGCGAAAGCCUGACAGGGUUAUUCUGAGUGACUUUCGCUAAGAAAGUCUUUUGACAUCUCUAAAAAUGGUGUAGAAUAAGGGGUGGGCAAGUCUGGUGCCAGCAGCCGCGGUAAU
This 465-nucleotide ribosomal RNA is filed under the name uncultured crenarchaeote. RNAcentral's name for it is "bacterial SSU rRNA". It matches the Rfam family "Archaeal small subunit ribosomal RNA", at positions 1 to 474 of the family's 1478-position model. Lineage: Archaea; Thermoproteati; Thermoproteota. The record is from RNAcentral.